Unclassified non-coding RNA from Erinaceus europaeus (western European hedgehog), 296 nucleotides. Its record names the gene 7SK. It matches the Rfam family "7SK RNA". From Rfam's summary of the family: 7SK was discovered as an abundant small nuclear RNA in the mid-70s but a possible function has only recently been suggested. Two independent studies have found that 7SK RNA binds the CDK9/cyclin T complex (known as elongation factor P-TEFb). P-TEFb activates transcription by phosphorylating the C-terminal domain of RNA polymerase II. Lineage: Eukaryota; Metazoa; Chordata; Mammalia; Eulipotyphla; Erinaceidae. The record is from Ensembl.
AGAUGUGAGGGUGAUGGUGGCUGUGACAUCUGUCACCCCACUGAUCACUAGGGUUGAUUCGACUGAUCUGUCUGACUGGGAAGGUGUCUCCUUCUCUGACUGCUCCAGGUGCGUCCUGCCUGAAGCUGUGUUCUAGGUGAAGACAGAUAGCUCUUCACUUGAGGGUAUACGACUAGCUGGGCUCCCCUGUUAGAACCUCCACACCAGCUCUCAAGGUCCACUUGUAUAUGUUUAAUAAAAAUUUUGUUAACAGAUAAAUAAUACGUGGUUAAGAACAGAACCUUUGGUGUUGUUAA